RNAcentral lists this ribosomal RNA (31 nucleotides) under Emericellopsis minima. RNAcentral's name for it is "partial 28S ribosomal RNA". RNAcentral also lists the same sequence under 1 other name. Lineage: Eukaryota; Fungi; Ascomycota; Sordariomycetes; Hypocreales; Bionectriaceae. The record is from RNAcentral.
AUACCCGCUGAACUUAAGCAUAUCAAUAAGC